This 424-nucleotide ribosomal RNA is filed under the name uncultured bacterium. RNAcentral describes it as "partial 16S ribosomal RNA". It matches the Rfam family "Bacterial small subunit ribosomal RNA", at positions 360 to 776 of the family's 1533-position model. The record is from RNAcentral.
AAUCUUCCACAAUGGUCGAAAGCCUGAUGGAGCAACGCCGCGUGAUUGAAUUAGGAUUUCGGUUCGUAAAACACUGUUGUAAGGGAAGAACAAGUACAGUAUUAACUGGCUGUACCUUGACGGUACCUUAUUAGAAAGCCACGGCUAACUACCAGCCUUCAGCCGCGGUAAUACGUCGGUGGCAAGCGUUGUCCGGAAUUUUUGGGCGUAAAGCGCGCGCAGGUGGUUUCUUAAGUCUGAUGUGAAAGCCCACGGCUCAACCGUGGAGGGUCAUUGGAAACUGGGAGACUUGAGUGCAGAAGAGGAUAGUGGAAUUCCAAGUGUAGCGGUGAAAUGCGUAGAGAUUUGGAGGAACACCAGUGGCGAAGGCGACUAUCUGGUCUGUAACUGACACUGAGGCGCGAAAGCGUGGGGAGCAAACAGG